GGCGCCGUAGUUUAGUGGCUAGAACGCGGGUCUCAUGAGCCCGAGGUCGGGAGUUCAACUCUCCUCGGCGCCA
This 73-nucleotide transfer RNA is filed under the name Nanobdellota archaeon. Its description in RNAcentral is "tRNA-Met". It matches the Rfam family "tRNA". From Rfam's summary of the family: Transfer RNA (tRNA) molecules are approximately 80 nucleotides in length. Their secondary structure includes four short double-helical elements and three loops (D, anti-codon, and T loops). The record is from RNAcentral. Lineage: Archaea; Nanobdellati; Nanobdellota.